UAGUAACUGCGAGUGAAGCGGGAAAAGCUCAAAUUUAAAAUCUGGCGGUCUCCGGCCGUCCGAGUUGUAAUCUAGAGAAGUGUUAUCCGCGCUGGACCGUGUACAAGUCUCCUGGAAUGGAGCGUCAUAGAGGGUGAGAAUCCCGUCUUUGACACGGACUGCCAGGGCUUUGUGAUGCGCUCUCAAAGAGUCGAGUUGUUUGGGAAUGCAGCUCAAAAUGGGUGGUAAAUUCCAUCUAAAGCUAAAUAUUGGCGAGAGACCGAUAGCGAACAAGUACCGUGAGGGAAAGAUGAAAAGAACUUUGGAAAGAGAGUUAAACAGUACGUGAAAUUGCUGAAAGGGAAACGCUUGAAGUCAGUCGCGUUGGCCGGGGAUCAACCUUGCUUUUGCUGGGCGUACUUUCCGGUUGACGGGUCAGCAUCAAUUUUGACCGUUGGAUAAAGUCUAGGGGAAUGUGGCAUCUUCGGAUGUGUUAUAGCCCUUGGUCGCAUACAACGGUUGGGAUUGAGGAACUCAGCACGCCGCAAGGCCGGGUACUUGUACCACGUUCGUGCUUAGGAUGCUGGCAUAAUGGCUUUAAUCGACCCGUCUUGAAACACGGACCAAGGAGUCUAACAUGCCUGCGAGUGUUUGGGUGGAAAACUCGGACGCGUAAUGAAAGUGAAAGUUGAGAUCCCUGUCGCGGGGAGCAUCGAC
RNAcentral lists this ribosomal RNA (696 nucleotides) under Hebeloma sp. RNAcentral describes it as "partial large subunit ribosomal RNA". It matches the Rfam family "Eukaryotic large subunit ribosomal RNA", at positions 81 to 762 of the family's 3401-position model. Lineage: Eukaryota; Fungi; Basidiomycota; Agaricomycetes; Agaricales; Hymenogastraceae. The record is from RNAcentral.